This 243-nucleotide long non-coding RNA is filed under the name Capra hircus (goat). RNAcentral describes it as "lncRNA (ENSCHIG00000000695.1)". The record is from RNAcentral. Lineage: Eukaryota; Metazoa; Chordata; Mammalia; Artiodactyla; Bovidae.
CAUAAUAGAUCCCGGUGCUCAUCCCACGCCUGACGUAGAAGCCGUCCUCUUUCUUCCUACUGUAUCCCAUAGAGCAGGUGACGGAUGCUUGUUUCCAGUCUUCGCUGCCACAUUAAUGUCUCUGUCUCCAAGCCCAAACGUGGACCUGAGUAUCCCGUGCAGUCAUAUUUCAGAGCCCAGGCAGUAAUACUGAUCUAGAUUUAUGAGUGCAUCUCUACUGUGUAACAUGGUUGAGUGUGUUGC